RNAcentral lists this ribosomal RNA (464 nucleotides) under uncultured bacterium. RNAcentral's name for it is "partial 16S ribosomal RNA". It matches the Rfam family "Bacterial small subunit ribosomal RNA", at positions 28 to 506 of the family's 1533-position model. The record is from RNAcentral.
GACGAACGCUGGCGGCGUGCUUAACACAUGCAAGUCGAGCGGUAAGGCCCCUUCGGGGGUACACGAGCGGCGAACGGGUGAGUAACACGUGAGCAAUCUGCCCAUCACAUCGGGAUAACUCCGGGAAACCGAAGCUAAUACCGAAUACGACCACCUCCGGCAUCGGAUGGUGGUGGAAAGUUCCGGCGGUGAUGGAUGAGCUCGCGGCCUAUCAGCUUGUUGGUGGGGUAACGGCCCACCAAGGCUUCGACGGGUAGCCGGCCUGAGAGGGUGACCGGCCACACUGGGACUGAGACACGGCCCAGACUCCUACGGGAGGCAGCAGUGGGGAAUAUUGGACAAUGGGCGAAAGCCUGAUCCAGCAACGCCGCGUGAGGGAUGACGGCCUUCGGGUGGUAAACCUCUUUCAGCAGGGACGAAGCGCAAGUGACGGUACCUGCAGAAGAAGCACCGGCCAACUACGU